CAACAUAUAUCUACCACAUAAAUCUCCUCUUGUCACUCUGAAAAAGAUUUUGUAAUUCAAACAUUAGUUAAAAAAAAACAUGGCCAAGGACAAUCAAGUAGAUAUACCGGAUAUAUCUUGCAAAGCUUUCUAAUUCUCUUACUAUGUAUUACUAUGUGUAAAUUCGAUUAUUUUUUUUAAUCUAUUGGGAUCAAUUCAAACUAACAAGUUAGAUUGUACUUCUCUGGAGCUCAUUUAUCUCACUUGUGUAUUGAUAUGGUGUGGUCAAUCUUACUCCCAUGGAGAACUUAAGCAAUAUCAAAAUUUUAGAUAAUGCAUGGUCAGAUCAUAACAUAUUGUUGUGGGAAAUGAAAGAUCAAUGGAGCAAAAAAUGUAGAACCACUCUUGGAGAUUCUGAGAGUAGGUUUGGACUAAAAAGGAUACAUACACUUUAAUGUAAUAAUGUCUUUGAUACACAAUGUCAGUGUUUUACUGAUACAUUCACUCUAAGUUAACUAAGUAACUCACUAAUUAUUUUUAUUCACCCCCCCUCCCCUUGACACCAAAUGGUGUCACUUACAGACUAUACUGGGAAAUUACAAAACAAAAUUUAUAUGGCAGUAAUUAACCAUAGGUUUUUUAUGAUAUUCAACAUGUGCACUUUGGC
Pelobates cultripes (western spadefoot toad) is the source of this 646-nucleotide non-coding RNA. NCBI's taxonomy places the organism in Eukaryota, Metazoa, Chordata, Amphibia, Anura, Pelobatidae. The record is from the annotation of a GenBank genome assembly.